UACAGAGGGGGCUAGCGUUGUUCGGAAUUACUGGGCGUAAAGCGCACGUAGGCGGCUUUGUAAGUUAGAGGUGAAAGCCCGGGGCUCAACUCCGGAAUUGCCUUUAAGACUGCAUCGCUAGAAUUGUGGAGAGGUAAGUGGAAUUCCGAGUGUAGAGGUGAAAUUCGUAGAUAUUCGGAAGAACACCAGUGGCGAAGGCGACUUACUGGACGACUGUUGACACUGAGGUGCGAAAGCGUGGGGAGCAAACAGG
Molecule: ribosomal RNA, 253 nt
Filed under: uncultured bacterium
Lineage: Bacteria
Description: partial 16S ribosomal RNA
Rfam family: Bacterial small subunit ribosomal RNA
Source: RNAcentral